CGCGUGUGUGAAGAAGGCUGCGGGUUGUAAAGCACUUUUGGCAGGGAUGAAAAGCACUGGAUUAAUAACCCAGUGUGUUGACCUAACCUGCAGAAGAAGCACCGGCUAACUCUGUGCCAGCAGCCGCGGUAAUACAGAGGGUGCAAGCGUUAAUCGGAAUUACUGGGCGUAAAGCGCGCGUAGGCCGUCGAGUAAGUCGGGUGUGAAAUCCCUGGGCUUAACCUGGGAAUUGCAUUCGAUACUGCCUGACUAGAGUGUGGAAGAGGGAAGCGGAAUUUCCGGUGUAGCGGUGAAAUGCGUAGAUAUCGGAAGGAACACCAGUGGCGAAGGCGGCUUCCUGGUCCAACACUGACGCUGAGGCGCGAAACGUGGGGAGCAAACAGGAUUAGAUCCCUGGUAGUCCACGCUGUAACGAUGAGACUAGAUGUUGGG
Molecule: ribosomal RNA, 432 nt
Filed under: uncultured bacterium
Lineage: Bacteria
Description: bacterial SSU rRNA
Rfam family: Bacterial small subunit ribosomal RNA
Source: RNAcentral